Molecule: non-coding RNA, 23 nt
Filed under: Cricetulus griseus (Chinese hamster)
Lineage: Eukaryota; Metazoa; Chordata; Mammalia; Rodentia; Cricetidae
Source: RNAcentral
GUUGGGAUCAUGGCGGAGAAUCA